AUGAAAUAUAUUAGUCUGCAAGUGUUAAGAGCUGCAACAUCCAAUUUUUCUAUAGACAAUAAACUGGGAGAGGGAGGAUUCGGAGAAGUUUUUAAGGGCGAAUUGCAGAAUGGAAUGAAAAUAGCCGUGAAAAGGCUGUCAAAGAACUCAGCUCAAGGGUUUGAUGAGCUGAAAAAUGAGCUAGUGUUAGCUAACAGACUUGAGCACAAGAAUUUGGUGCCCCUUCUCGGUGUUUGCUUGCAAGAGAAACUGGUGGUGUACGAAUAUAUGCCUAAUGGAAGCCUACACACGAGCCUUUUCAAUUCUGAGAAGGCACACCAACUGGACUGGACGAAAAGAAACACGAUCAUCUCUGGGAUUGCUCGAGGUCUAUUGUAUCUCCACGAGGAGUCUCGUCUAAAAGUCAUACACCGUGACCUGAAGCCAAGCAACGUCUUAUUAGACCUGGAUAUGAACCCCAAGAUCUCAGACUUUGGUCUGUCUAGGGCUUUCGGUGAAGAUCAGUCGAUGGAUAUAACAAAACGCCCUGUCGGUACACUUGGAUACAUGUCUCCCGAGUACGCGUACUGUGGCCAAGUCUCUACCAAGUCAGACAUGUACAGCUUCGGGGUCAUAGUUAUCGAGAUUGUGACUGGUCGAAGGAACAAUAGGUCACUGGAAGAUUAUGAUACCGCCUCCAGAUAUCUUCUCAGCUAUGUAUGGGAAAAGUGGAAUGCAGGAUCGAUGGAAGAGGUGGUGGAUUCCUGCCUGGGCGGUCGUUACCCCGAGAGCGAGGCGCUAAACUGUGUGCACAUCGGACUGCUAUGCGUCCAGGAGGAUCCCAGCGCCAGGCCAGAUGCGUCCGAGGUAGUGCUCAUGCUCGACAGCCACUCCACGUCCAUGAAUAUGCGCACUCCCUCCAGGCCUGCGUUCUGCUUCACACAACCUGGCGUCGUCAGGCAUGCUACGGCCAACGGCCAACUGUCUACCCCCGUUUCAGACAAUGAAGUGACGAUUUCGGAUCUCCAGCCUAGGUAG
This 1017-nucleotide ribosomal RNA is filed under the name Triticum aestivum (bread wheat). RNAcentral's name for it is "partial small subunit ribosomal RNA". The record is from RNAcentral. Lineage: Eukaryota; Viridiplantae; Streptophyta; Magnoliopsida; Poales; Poaceae.